AUUGAACGCUGGCGGCAGGCCUAACACAUGCAAGUCGAGCGGAUGAAGGGAGCUUGCUCCUGGAUUCAGCGGCGGACGGGUGAGUAAUGCCUAGGAAUCUGCCUGGUAGUGGGGGAUAACGUCCGGAAACGGGCGCUAAUACCGCAUACGUCCUGCGGGAGAAAGUGGGGGAUCUUCGGACCUCACGCUAUCAGAUGAGCCUAGGUCGGAUUAGCUAGUUGGUGGGGUAAAGGCCUACCAAGGCGACGAUCCGUAACUGGUCUGAGAGGAUGAUCAGUCACACUGGAACUGAGACACGGUCCAGACUCCUACGGGAGGCAGCAGUGGGGAAUAUUGGACAAUGGGCGAAAGCCUGAUCCAGCCACGCCGCGUGUGUGAAGAAGGUCUUCGGAUUGUAAAGCACUUUAAGUUGGGAGGAAGGGCAGUAAGUUAAUACCUUGCUGUUUUGACGGUACCAACAGAAUAAGCACCGGCUAACUUCGUG
This 484-nucleotide ribosomal RNA is filed under the name uncultured bacterium. RNAcentral's name for it is "partial 16S ribosomal RNA". It matches the Rfam family "Bacterial small subunit ribosomal RNA", at positions 30 to 507 of the family's 1533-position model. The record is from RNAcentral.